GACUUGGCAGUGGGGCGGUUUCUUGGCCUAGUGUCUGUGCCAUGAGCCGUACAGCAAAACAAAACAGCAUCCAUUUAUUCUCCCAUUUAUUACAGACCUGUGGGUCUGUGGAGCCCCGAGAGAAGAUAAAGAAGACUUUAACUCGGAGAGUGGUUGCUGCACAAAGUCCUGCCUGACAUCAUCCCUUUGAAUAUUUGGAUAUAUUUGUUUUGGGACUGAACAGGAUUACCGUAAGGCUUAAGUAGUUUUUACUGCACUGAGUGAGUUUAGCAGGAGAAAUGGAGCCAAAGGAGCCAAGGAAGGACACAGGAAAGAAAAACAGCAAAAAGGUGGCCGAUCCCGUCAGCAUACUUCCUAAAGGGGGAAAGGACAGAUGGAAGGUGGACCUUGAGGACAUGCUUGGCAUCGCCGGUAUUGUGGGCACAGUUCUCAACCUGCUGGUGGUGGUGUUGGUGUAUAUCUACACACCUAUCUGACAUGCCUACACAGACUGUAUAGCUUUACUGGGAAGCUGUUGACUUUUGGAUGGAAUGGACAGAUGUAUAAAUGGGAUGUCGCCUACUUGAUGGAUGGCUACAAGGACAACAAGAAGGAAGGAACGGGAUGCUGUGAACACAAGAGUGUUUUAGUCAUAGACCGGCCAAAUCACAUUCUCUUAUGUUGUUAGUGUUGAGGAUAGUUUUUUUUCAUUAUAUUUGUCCAAUCUGAUACAACCGACCUUUGUAGUUGGGUUUGUAACUGUGAUUAGUUAACCUCAAAGUUAAAGUCCUUUUCCAAAAGGUGAGACAUUUGGACAACACUGGGCAAAUUGCAUGCGUUGUUGAUUUCUGUGUUAACUACAGUAACUUUCUUUCUUUUUUCUAUUGUAUCCGCAAUAUGGAUGCAAUGUAUGUUAGUUUUCUGAUUGUUGCCAUUGUUUCCUGAAAAUUAAAGUAUAACCAAUACAUUUUAAA
Long non-coding RNA from Etheostoma cragini (Arkansas darter), 953 nucleotides. RefSeq lists it as uncharacterized. The transcript is spliced from 2 exons. The record is from RefSeq and is a predicted model, not a curated record. NCBI's taxonomy places the organism in Eukaryota, Metazoa, Chordata, Actinopteri, Perciformes, Percidae.